AAGUCCCGUAACGAGCGCAACCCUUACCGCUAGUUGCUACAGUUCGGCUGAGCACUCUAGUGGAACCGCUGGUGAUAAACUGGAGGAAGGUGGGGAUGACGUCAAGUCAUCAUGGCCUUUAUGUCCAGGGCUACACACGUGCUACAAUGGCUGGUACAAAGGGCAGCAAACCCGCGAGGGGAAGCCAAUCCCAAAAAACCGGUCUCAGUUCGGAUUGCAGUCUGCAACUCGACUGCAUGAAGUUGGAAUCGCUAGUAAUCGCGGAUCAGCAUGCCGCGGUGAAUACGUUCCCGGGUCUUGUACACACCGCCCGU
This 314-nucleotide ribosomal RNA is filed under the name uncultured soil bacterium. RNAcentral describes it as "bacterial SSU rRNA". It matches the Rfam family "Bacterial small subunit ribosomal RNA", at positions 1082 to 1397 of the family's 1533-position model. The record is from RNAcentral.